AUUGAACGCUGGCGGCAGGCUUAACACAUGCAAGUCGAGCGGGGUGAUGGUGCUUGCACUAUCACUUAGCGGCGGACGGGUGAGUAAUGCUUAGGAAUCUGCCUAUUAGUGGGGGACAACAUCUCGAAAGGGAUGCUAAUACCGCAUACGUCCUACGGGAGAAAGCAGGGGAUCACUUGUGACCUUGCGCUAAUAGAUGAGCCUAAGUCGGAUUAGCUGGUUGGUGGGGUAAAGGCCUACCAAGGCGACGAUCUGUAGCGGGUCUGAGAGGAUGAUCCGCAACACUGGGACUGAGACACGGCCCAGACUCCUACGGGAGGCAGCAGUGGGGAAUAUUGGACAAUGGGGGGAACCCUGAUCCAGCCAUGCCGCGUGUGUGAAGAAGGCCUUAUGGUUGUAAAGCACUUUAAGCGAGGAGGAGGCUCUUUUGGUUAAUACCCAAGAUGAGUGGACGUUACUCGCAGAAUAAGCACCGGCUAACUCUGUGCCAGCCGCCGCAGUAA
RNAcentral lists this ribosomal RNA (503 nucleotides) under uncultured bacterium. RNAcentral describes it as "partial 16S ribosomal RNA". It matches the Rfam family "Bacterial small subunit ribosomal RNA", at positions 30 to 523 of the family's 1533-position model. The record is from RNAcentral.